Molecule: ribosomal RNA, 197 nt
Filed under: uncultured bacterium
Lineage: Bacteria
Description: partial 16S ribosomal RNA
Rfam family: Bacterial small subunit ribosomal RNA
Source: RNAcentral
ACUCCUACGGGAGGCAGCAGUGGGGAAUAUUGGACAAUGGGGGCAACCCUGAUCCAGCGACGCCGCGUGUGUGAAGAAGGCCUGCGGGUUGUAAAGCACUUUUAGUGGGGAUGAAAAGCACGUCACUAACACUGGUGUGUCUUGACCUAACCCAAAGAAAAAGCACCGGCUAACUCUGUGCCAGCAGCCGCGGUAAU